AUACUACUCCCUCCGUUCCAAAAUUCUUGUCUUACAUUUGUCUAUAUAUAAAUGUAUCUAGUCACGUUUUAUUAGUUGAAUACAUUCAUUUUUAGACAAAUAUAAAACAAGAAUUUUAGGACGAAGGGAGUAUGUA
This 136-nucleotide microRNA precursor is filed under the name Hordeum vulgare. Its description in RNAcentral is "microRNA MIR1122". It matches the Rfam family "MIR1120/MIR1122 microRNA precursor family". The record is from RNAcentral. Lineage: Eukaryota; Viridiplantae; Streptophyta; Magnoliopsida; Poales; Poaceae.